This is a long non-coding RNA of Myotis davidii, 1264 nucleotides long. RefSeq lists it as uncharacterized. NCBI's taxonomy places the organism in Eukaryota, Metazoa, Chordata, Mammalia, Chiroptera, Vespertilionidae. The transcript is spliced from 3 exons. The record is from RefSeq and is a predicted model, not a curated record.
GCGCCUCGCCCCCCUCGGCGGCGGGGAGGGGCCCGGCUCGCUCUUUUUCCGGAAUCUUCCAUCCUGGCGUCCCAGAAAGGCCAAAGAUUACUCAGCAGAUGCAAACCUCCAGAAGUUGGGUAGAAGGGAAAUCCGGGUAUUGGAAGUAAAGUCCCCUUGUGAGGCCUACUACAGCAUAUCGCAGAUGCGGCGUAGCACUGAGUGUGACAAAGCUGACAAUCCCAACUGGGUCCGCUCCCCACUCUCGCCCUUCCAGAGGGCACACGAAAUGGGAACUGGCCUUGGCAGCUUUGGCCGCAGUCAGAUGACUCGCUCUUCUUGGCGGCUCUUACUGUGCUUCUCCAGAGGAAAAGACUCUACAUCUCAUGGAAAAAUCAGGCUCUUCACUCUAUGCCCAAAACAUGCUGUACUCUUCCUUGAUGACUUUAUGAGUUCUUUUUGUACUUUUUUAAGUAAAAUGUGAGUAUCGUCACCUGGAACAAAUUGCAGGAAAGAUCUUCUGGACAGAUUUCCCCUCCUGGUUCCACAAAGCCAUUUCCCUUUUAAUCUGUGUACAAACCUACUUUUUAAAAUGAUCUGAAUGUUUCUGAACUAGCAAGAACAGUUCCUCCUUGCUUUAAAGGGUAAUUUGUGGCAAGUAUAGCAUAUUCUGGAAGCUUUUCUUUAUGUAAUCAUGUAGAGCUUAACUUCCACAUUUUUUAAAAGUGGGAUAAUUGAGUUGAAUUCAAAGCUUUUAAGCAAAAGGUCUGAUUCCAGACAGACAAGGAGGAAGGUUUACUUUGUAUUAUUUUAUACAUAACAUGUAUUAUGGCAUAUCUGAUAUAUUUAUAUAUACAUAAGUAUAUAUAUAUGUAAGUGUAUAUACUAUAUAUACCUCUUUCUAUCAAAUGAAUACAGGCAAUGUGCCAGAGUUAGUACAAUUGUAAAUUGUCAUUCUCUACUUAAGGGCUUUUUAUUUAAAUUCUCCUAAAAUAUGAUGAAUUAGCAUCAUCUCUCAUUAUUGAAAAAUAGGACAUAAAAACAAAAAAGGACAUCCUGCCUUCACAUUAGGUGGAGUGUUCCUCAUGCUGAUAUUGAGGAUAUAUGAAGGCUUAUUUCUCAAAUGUGGAUUGACUGGUUUAACUAGUAAUAGGAGUUUUUAACUGGGUCAUAAAAAGAAGUAUGAAUGCUCCCUUUCAUACAAUGGUCCUUUAUAUAUAGAAAAGAAAUUUCUGCCCUAACCGGUUUGGCUCAGUGGAUAGAGCGUCAGCCUGCGGACUAAAGG